Molecule: long non-coding RNA, 257 nt
Filed under: Spirodela polyrhiza (greater duckweed)
Lineage: Eukaryota; Viridiplantae; Streptophyta; Magnoliopsida; Alismatales; Araceae
Description: long non-coding RNA (SPOL_LNC000285)
Source: RNAcentral
UGGGUGAUGGUGGUAACAUACAAUCCGUGGGCCUGGUGCCCGUAUAUAUAUAUAUAUUGCCAAUAUUCGUCUAAACUAACGUAAAAGUGGGCAAUGUUCCCUCUGCUCCGUUGCUCAGAGAGAGGGCUGCCGGAGCUCGAGGCCGGCCGGUGGCGGCGGCAUCGGCUGCCCGUCGUUCUGGGCAAAGAAACGUACAGGUAGGAGGGGGAAGGAAGGAGCAAGACGAAUUUCAGUUGGUGGCCUUCGUUGGUGGCUUC